This 257-nucleotide ribosomal RNA is filed under the name uncultured bacterium. Its description in RNAcentral is "partial 16S ribosomal RNA". It matches the Rfam family "Bacterial small subunit ribosomal RNA", at positions 57 to 305 of the family's 1533-position model. The record is from RNAcentral.
GCAAGUCGAGCGAGAUCCAUCCGGUAGCAAUACUGGUGAAGAUCUAGCGGCGAACGGGUGAGUAACACGUGAGAAACCUGCCCCGAAGACCGGGAUAACCCGAGGAAACUCGGGCUAAUACCGGAUGUCCUCACCUGGUCUCAUGUCCGGGUGCGGAAAGGCUCCGGCGCUUUGGGAGGGUCUCGCGGCCUAUCAGCUAGUUGGUGAGGUAACGGCUCACCAAGGCAUCGACGGGUAGCUGGUCUGAGAGGACGAUC